This 645-nucleotide ribosomal RNA is filed under the name uncultured Lachnospiraceae bacterium. RNAcentral's name for it is "bacterial SSU rRNA". It matches the Rfam family "Bacterial small subunit ribosomal RNA", at positions 89 to 748 of the family's 1533-position model. The record is from RNAcentral. Lineage: Bacteria; Bacillati; Bacillota; Clostridia; Lachnospirales; Lachnospiraceae.
AUCUUAGUGGCGGACGGGUGAGUAACGUGUGGGCAACCUGCCCUGUACUGGGGAAUAAUCAUUGGAAACGAUGACUAAUACCGCAUGUGGUCCUCGGAAGGCAUCUUCUGAGGAAGAAAGGAUUUAUUCGGUACAGGAUGGGCCCGCAUCUGAUUAGCUAGUUGGUGAGAUAACAGCCCACCAAGGCGACGAUCAGUAGCCGACCUGAGAGGGUGAUCGGCCACAUUGGGACUGAGACACGGCCCAAACUCCUACGGGAGGCAGCAGUGGGGAAUAUUGCACAAUGGGCGAAAGCCUGAUGCAGCAACGCCGCGUGAAGGAUGAAGGGUUUCGGCUCGUAAACUUCUAUCAAUAGGGAAGAAAGAAAUGACGGUACCUAAAUAAGAAGCCCCGGCUAACUACGUGCCAGCAGCCGCGGUAAUACGUAGGGGGCAAGCGUUAUCCGGAAUUACUGGGUGUAAAGGGAGCGUAGGCGGCAUGGUAAGCCAGAUGUGAAAGCCUUGGGCUUAACCCGAGGAUUGCAUUUGGAACUAUCAAGCUAGAGUACAGGAGAGGAAAGCGGAAUUCCUAGUGUAGCGGUGAAAUGCGUAGAUAUUAGGAAGAACACCAGUGGCGAAGCGGCUUUCUGGACUGAAACUGACGCUG